GAUGAACGCUGGCGGCGUGCUUAACACAUGCAAGUCGAACGAGAAGUGAAGACGGAAACCUUCGGGCGGAAGGCUUUAUUUCGAGUGGCGGACGGGUGAGUAACGCGUGGGUAACCUGCCUCAUACAGGGGGAUAACAGUUGGAAACGACUGUUAAUACCGCAUAAGACCACAGCACCGCAUGGUGCGGGGGUAAAAACUCCGGUGGUAUGAGAUGGACCCGCGUUCGAUUAGCCAGUUGGCGGGGUAACGGCCCACCAAAGCGACGAUCGAUAGCCGAUCUGAGAGGAUGACCGGCCACAUUGGGACUGAGACACGGCCCAAACUCCUACGGGAGGCAGCAGUGGGGAAUAUUGCACAAUGGGGGAAACCCUGAUGCAGCGACGCCGCGUGAGUGAAGAAGUAUUUCGGUAUGUAAAGCUCUAUUAGCAGGGAAGAAAAUGACGGUACCUGAGGAAGAAGCCCCGGCUAACUACGUG
RNAcentral lists this ribosomal RNA (478 nucleotides) under uncultured bacterium. Its description in RNAcentral is "partial 16S ribosomal RNA". It matches the Rfam family "Bacterial small subunit ribosomal RNA", at positions 28 to 507 of the family's 1533-position model. The record is from RNAcentral.